RNAcentral lists this ribosomal RNA (428 nucleotides) under uncultured bacterium. RNAcentral's name for it is "bacterial SSU rRNA". It matches the Rfam family "Bacterial small subunit ribosomal RNA", at positions 36 to 507 of the family's 1533-position model. The record is from RNAcentral.
CUGGCGGCAGGCUUAACACAUGCAAGUCGAACGGGCGUAGCAAUACGUCAGUGGCAGACGGGUGAGUAACGCGUGGGAACGUACCUUUUGGUUCGGAACAACACAGGGAAACUUGUGCUAAUACCGGAUAAGCCCUUACGGGGAAAGAUUUAUCGCCGAAAGAUCGGCCCGCGUCUGAUUAGCUAGUUGGUGAGGUAAUGGCUCACCAAGGCGACGAUCAGUANCUGGUCUGAGAGGAUGAUCAGCCACACUGGGACUGAGACACGGCCCAGACUCCUACGGGAGGCAGCAGGUGGGGAAUAUUGGACAAUGGGGGCAACCCUGAUCCAGCCAUGCCGCGUGAGUGAUGAAGGCCCUAGGGUUGUAAAGCUCUUUUGUGCGGGAAGAUAAUGACGGUACCGCAAGAAUAAGCCCCGGCUAACUUCGUG